CACGUAGGCGGAUUAGAAAGUUGGGGGUGAAAUCCCAGGGCUCAACCCUGGAACUGCCUUCAAAACUACUAGUCUAGAGUUCGAGAGAGGUGAGUGGAAUUCCGAGUGUAGAGGUGAAAUUCGUAGAUAUUCGGAGGAACACCAGUGGCGAAGGCGGCUCACUGGCUCGAUACUGACGCUGAGGUGCGAAAGUGUGGGGAGCAAACA
This 207-nucleotide ribosomal RNA is filed under the name uncultured bacterium. Its description in RNAcentral is "partial 16S ribosomal RNA". It matches the Rfam family "Bacterial small subunit ribosomal RNA", at positions 568 to 774 of the family's 1533-position model. The record is from RNAcentral.